GGGUUGUGAGGUUAAGCGACUAAGCGUACACGGUGGAUGCCCUGGCAGUCAGAGGCGAUGAAGGACGUGCUAAUCUGCGAAAAGCGCCGGCGAGGUGAUAUGAACCUUUGACCCGGCGAUGUCCGAAUGGGGAAACCCAGUGUGAUUCGUCACACUAUCGUUAACUGAAUACAUAGGUUAACGAGGCGAACCGGGGGAACUGAAACAUCUAAGUACCCCGAGGAAAAGAAAUCAACCGAGAUUCCCCCAGUAGCGGCGAGCGAACGGGGAGCAGCCCAGAGUCUGAAUCAGCUUGUGUGUUAGUGGAAGCGUCUGGAAAGUCGCACGGUACAGGGUGAAAGUCCCGUACACGAAAGCACACAGGCUGUGAACUCGAAGAGUAGGGCGGGACACGUGGUAUCCUGUCUGAAUAUGGGGGGACCAUCCUCCAAGGCUAAAUACUCCUGACUGACCGAUAGUGAACCAGUACCGUGAGGGAAAGGCGAAAAGAACCCCGGCGAGGGGAGUGAAAAAGAACCUGAAACCGUGUACGUACAAGCAGUGGGAGCCUCUUUUAUGGGGUGACUGCGUACCUUUUGUAUAAUGGGUCAGCGACUUAUAUUCUGUAGCAAGGUUAACCGUAUAGGGGAGCCGAAGGGAAACCGAGUCUUAACUGGGCGUUAAGUUGCAGGGUAUAGACCCGAAACCCGGUGAUCUAGCCAUGGGCAGGUUGAAGGUUGGGUAACACUAACUGGAGGACCGAACCGACUAAUGUUGAAAAAUUAGCGGAUGACUUGUGGCUGGGGGUGAAAGGCCAAUCAAACCGGGAGAUAGCUGGUUCUCCCCGAAAGCUAUUUAGGUAGCGCCUCGUGAACUCAUCUUCGGGGGUAGAGCACUGUUUCGGCUAGGGGGCCAUCCCGGCUUACCAACCCGAUGCAAACUACGAAUACCGAAGAAUGUUAUCACGGGAGACACACGGCGGGUGCUAACGUCCGUCGUGAAGAGGGAAACAACCCAGACCGCCAGCUAAGGUCCCAAAGUCAUGGUUAAGUGGGAAACGAUGUGGGAAGGCACAGACAGCCAGGAUGUUGGCUUAGAAGCAGCCAUCAUUUAAAGAAAGCGUAAUAGCUCACUGGUCGAGUCGGCCUGCGCGGAAGAUGUAACGGGGCUAAACCAUGCACCGAAGCUGCGGCAGCGACGCUUAUGCGUUGUUGGGUAGGGGAGCGUUCUGUAAGCCGUUGAAGGUGUCCUGUGAGGGAUGCUGGAGGUAUCAGAAGUGCGAAUGCUGACAUAAGUAACGAUAAAGCGGGUGAAAAGCCCGCUCGCCGGAAGACCAAGGGUUCCUGUCCAACGUUAAUCGGGGCAGGGUGAGUCGACCCCUAAGGCGAGGCCGAAAGGCGUAGUCGAUGGGAAACAGGUUAAUAUUCCUGUACUUGGUGUUACUGCGAAGGGGGGACGGAGAAGGCUAUGUUAGCCGGGCGACGGUUGUCCCGGUUUAAGCAUGUAGGCGGAACGAUUAGGUAAAUCCGGUCGUUUAUUAACGCUGAGGUGUGAUGACGAGGCACUACGGUGCUGAAGUAACAAAUGCCCUGCUUCCAGGAAAAGCCUCUAAGCAUCAGGUAACAUCAAAUCGUACCCCAAACCGACACAGGUGGUCAGGUAGAGAAUACCAAGGCGCUUGAGAGAACUCGGGUGAAGGAACUAGGCAAAAUGGUGCCGUAACUUCGGGAGAAGGCACGCUGAUAUGUAGGUGAAGCCCCUGCGGGUGGAGCUGAAAUCAGUCGAAGAUACCAGCUGGCUGCAACUGUUUAUUAAAAACACAGCACUGUGCAAACACGAAAGUGGACGUAUACGGUGUGACGCCUGCCCGGUGCCGGAAGGUUAAUUGAUGGGGUUAGCGGUAACGCGAAGCUCUUGAUCGAAGCCCCGGUAAACGGCGGCCGUAACUAUAACGGUCCUAAGGUAGCGAAAUUCCUUGUCGGGUAAGUUCCGACCUGCACGAAUGGCGUAAUGAUGGCCAGGCUGUCUCCACCCGAGACUCAGUGAAAUUGAACUCGCUGUGAAGAUGCAGUGUACCCGCGGCAAGACGGAAAGACCCCGUGAACCUUUACUAUAGCUUGACACUGAACACUGGUCCUUGAUGUGUAGGAUAGGUGGGAGGCUUUGAAGCGUGGACGCCAGUCUGCGUGGAGCCAACCUUGAAAUACCACCCUUUAAUGGCUGGUGUUCUAACGUAGACCCGUGAUCCGGGUUGCGGACAGUGUCUGGUGGGUAGUUUGACUGGGGCGGUCUCCUCCCAAAGAGUAACGGAGGAGCACGAAGGUUAGCUAAUCCUGGUCGGACAUCAGGAGGUUAGUGCAAUGGCAUAAGCUAGCUUGACUGCGAGAGUGACGGCUCGAGCAGGUGCGAAAGCAGGUCAUAGUGAUCCGGUGGUUCUGAAUGGAAGGGCCAUCGCUCAACGGAUAAAAGGUACUCCGGGGAUAACAGGCUGAUACCGCCCAAGAGUUCAUAUCGACGGCGGUGUUUGGCACCUCGAUGUCGGCUCAUCACAUCCUGGGGCUGAAGUAGGUCCCAAGGGUAUGGCUGUUCGCCAUUUAAAGUGGUACGCGAGCUGGGUUUAGAACGUCGUGAGACAGUUCGGUCCCUAUCUGCCGUGGGCGCUGGAGAAUUGAGGGGGGCUGCUCCUAGUACGAGAGGACCGGAGUGGACGCAUCACUGGUGUUCGGGUUGUCAUGCCAAUGGCACUGCCCGGUAGCUAAAUGCGGAAGAGAUAAGUGCUGAAAGCAUCUAAGCACGAAACUUGCCCCGAGAUGAGUUCUCCCUGAGACUUUAAGUCUCCUGAAGGAACGUUGAAGACUACGACGUUGAUAGGUCGGGUGUGUAAGCGCAGCGAUGCGUUGAGCUAACCGAUACUAAUGAACCGUGAGGCUUAACCUUACAACGCCGAAG
RNAcentral lists this ribosomal RNA (2928 nucleotides) under Enterobacter ludwigii. RNAcentral describes it as "23S ribosomal RNA". It matches the Rfam family "Bacterial large subunit ribosomal RNA". Lineage: Bacteria; Pseudomonadati; Pseudomonadota; Gammaproteobacteria; Enterobacterales; Enterobacteriaceae. The record is from RNAcentral.